RNAcentral lists this long non-coding RNA (255 nucleotides) under Lathyrus oleraceus (garden pea). Its description in RNAcentral is "Pisum sativum (pea) long non-coding RNA (PSAT_LNC000187)". Lineage: Eukaryota; Viridiplantae; Streptophyta; Magnoliopsida; Fabales; Fabaceae. The record is from RNAcentral.
AUAUUUAUGGUAGGUGGAGUGGAGGAAGUUGUAACUGAGGUUGAGAUUGUGAGAUGUGGUAGAGGAAUUGAUGAGGCAAGUUGCCUAGAAGUAGAGCCGGAGGAGUUUAAAACUUCUGAGAUGGAGAUCUUACCAGAAGGUGUUGAAGAAGAGGUCAGAAGCACUGACUUUUUCUUGGUUGCUAAAGACUCUCCCAGAUUGAGAGUCUUAUUUUUCUGAACAAUUUCCUUCUGAGAGGGUUCCCUCUUUAUUUUC